RNAcentral lists this ribosomal RNA (201 nucleotides) under uncultured bacterium. Its description in RNAcentral is "partial 16S ribosomal RNA". It matches the Rfam family "Bacterial small subunit ribosomal RNA", at positions 328 to 539 of the family's 1533-position model. The record is from RNAcentral.
ACGCUCGACACCUACGGGGGGCAGCGGUGGGGGAUAUUGCACAAUGGAGGAAACUCUGAUGCAGCGACGCCGCGUGAGGGAAGACGGUUUUCGGAUUGUAAACCUCUGUCUUCAGGGACGAAAUGAAUGACGGUACCUGAGGAGGAAGCUCCGGCUAACUACGUGCCUGCAGCCGCGGUAAUCUGAGCGGGCUGGCAAGGC